CACAGAGUGUGGGUAAUUAUGUCAAAUGUCACUGGCAAUGUGCAUUCAGCUGAUUGCAACUGUUAAAGCAAGUCACUGAGCAUGCGUACAUGUCAUACGGGAGAGUUCCAAUCAGGGGUGGAUAACACCUUAUAGGAAAGCCCUAUAUGUAUACACGCGUGUGUGCGCGAGUGCGUGUUCGUGUGAAUAUUUAGAAAGCUACGCAGAGCAACGCGUAUGGAUGAAGUAACUUUUUGCAACCCACCUAUGGAUAGUGAUAUUAUUAAUUUGGUUAGGCUGCAACCGGUAAAGUUUGUCGAUGUUUCCUGUCAACUAAAUCGACCAUAUACUUCCGUACUUUUGAAUUUGUUUGAAAUAAAAAAUUCCUUACAUAAAAGAGAUAAGCGUUGAGACAGGAAAAGAAUCUGGCCAUAAAAAUCCCAGCCCAUGAAUUUACUCUCGUCGAAGUCGUUAAACAAAACAAACGAAGGAAAAGUGUAUAUGCUUGCUUUCCAGCUCGUAGAGAAUCAUCGAAUGCAAACAUGUCUUGGCAAAAACUUUCAGCCCUUGGUUUAGUAAAUAAUCAUUGCUCAUUAUCAUCAAAAUAUUGAUUUCAAAUUUAGAAGGGGCUAAGUCGAUUACAUCGACCCCAGUGUUCAACAGAUACCUAUUUUAUUGACUCCCGAAAGGAUGAAAAUCGAAAUCUACCCCGGCAGAAUUUGAACUCAGAACAUAAGGACAGACGAAAGGCCGCUAAGAAUUUUACCCGGCAUGCAAAAGAUUCUGCCAUCUUACUACGCUGAGCUGUUUUUGUGAGCCAUUUGUACACCUCGACUGGAUAACACUACGUAAUCCUUGCAUAUACCCGACGUUGUUUCAAUAUAGAUGCAAUGUCUUUGGUUACCUCAAGAAAUAUGAAGCAUAAACGACAACAAAUAUGCAAAUAGUAUCUUCACCAAAGGGGUGGGGAAUAGAAGACGAAAAAUGUUAUAAAAACAAACAUAGGAACAGAAUAUGUUUACUAUGAAGAAUAUUUAAUAUUUGUUGGGGUUAUUUUGCUGCACACUGAAGGAUACACCGCCAUCAAAACAAUCCUUGUAACAUUUAAAACAUCAGGCAGAAUGACGACAGUUACACUGCUUAUGUAAUGCUUUUUGUGUUCUGUGUUUUGCUUCAAAGAAGACUACAGUUUAAAUAUUCUUCGCAUCAAAUCUUCUCAGUCUAGCGUUCUAGACAAACAUUCAAAAUCGUUUUCUGUGCUGGUGAUUCAAUUAGAAGAACAAUAUAAGAUCUGCUGAAAAAACCCGAACCAUAUCAUUUGUGUCUUUUUAAAGAAGCCGAGAGUGAUUUGAGGAGAUUCAUCUACUACUUCUAGCAGGAUUAUCUGGGACAACAAGAGUAAAACCAAAAGAAGGCCUUGCUGCACAUUGAAGGUUGACAAUUUGAUGACUGAUUCUUUUGACUUCAGUUUCAACACUGUAAUCCUCACAUCUCCUCCAACCGCCACUUCUGCUCUAUAAAGCAUAUUGAUAUCAUCAACCAGGUCACUUUCUGGAAUCGAACUCGGAAUCCUGGGGUUAAUAGCCCACGCUCUUAACCACUACGCCAUAUGCCCAAGGGCAUAUGGCAGUGAACUGAAUAAUAAUAAUAGGUGGCUGGAUGUGUUCUUCGCUGCUCUAACCUGUCAGCAGCUGAAGACACAGAAACACUAAUACAACCCAGCAGGACAACUAAAAAAAUAACUCUAAAAGACUGGAAUAUCUACAGUUUCCUAAUUCAGUUGAAUGAAUCCUUUUUCUAGAGAGUUCUACAUUUGUCACAAGUCAACAGAGCUGGAGCAUAACCCCAUUUCCUUUCCAUCAAAAGAGCAAUAUUCUUCCUUCCCUUGAAUGGAACAGGUCUGACCCCAGUUGUUGCUGGGACUUAUUUUCAAGCAAAGCAAAGCAAAGCAACAUGAAAUGAAGUAUUUGAAAAAAAAAAGAUUAAACAAAGAUAAUAAAAAAAGACAAAACAAAAGGCUUCUUUGUUGAAUAGUUGAGAAGGUCCUCAAUAAGACGAGUGCUGACAUUAGUUAAAAUAUUGAGUUUUAGUAUGGCUACAGUUGAAUCAAAAACUAUUUAUCUUCUGUUCGUUGAGGUCAGUGGGGAAUUUGAUCGAGUGAAUUGCAAACACUUGAGGAAACUACUUAAACAUUAUGUAUAUUCAUCAUAGUUAAUAAUAUUUAUGAAGAAUCUUCACAAUGCUGUGGCCUAACUGUCCACGUGUAGCAGCUGCUUCUGUAAGUUUUCCUGUUCUACAUGCUGAUCAAUAAAUUAAAUUGGCUUCAUUAAUUGAAAUAUGAGAUCCGUUCAAAAAGAAACCAUACUUUUAAAACAACAUGUCAGCCAACCAAUGCAGGGUUCUUGUGACUAUGAUGCUGUGUGCAGCUGACCUUGGUUUUUCAGUGAAAUGAUAAGCCACACCAGGCAGCCAUUGAUCUACAGGUGCUAGAGUGAAGGUAUGUCUAAUGCAUUUGGCUAUUUGCUUCAAGUUGAACAAUGAGGAAAAAUGUAUCAAACGAGGAAGAAUUUUAUGAUGCCUAUUCUAAUAAUAAUGCAAUAAACCAAUGGGGAUGAUUAUUUGAGCUGUGUAUAAGGUCGCAUAUGAUAUCGACAUUUCAAACUGAGAAGGACAUCAGAACAAUAGGCACAGCAGUGGCUGUGUGAUAAGUAGCUUCCUUACCAACCACAUGGUCCCGGGUUCAGUCCCACUGCGUGGCAGCUUGGGCAAGUGUCUUCUACUAUAGCCUUGGGCCGACCAAAGUCUUGUGAGUGGAUUUGGUAGAUGGAAAUUGAAAGAAGCCCAUCAUAUAUGUGUAUAUAUAUGUGUGUGUGUGUGUUUGUCCCCCCAACAUCGCUUGACAACCAAUGCUGGUGUGUUUAUGUGCCCCAUAACUUAGUUGUACUAACUCUUCUGACCUUGAAGCUGAAAGGCAAACACAGUCUGCCACUAAGGGUUUUGGCUCUCUUGCAAAGCAUCUAUGGAGCUGCCGUGAUGUUGCCUGCAACACAAAGAUAUAGGUGUACAGUGUCACAGUGCUCCUUUACUUCCUUUAUGCCACAGAAUGCAUGGCCCUCUACUACAGCAACAUCAAGGCCCUGAUACAAAUCCAACUUCAUCAUCUGCACUCCAGCUUCAUAUCAGGUGGUGGGAUCACAUUCCUGAUGUAAAGGUCCUGAUGUCACACUAGCAUAGUUUGUGUGGAAGUCCUCAUUACCUCAUUGCAGCAGUGCAGGGCAGGGCAUGUUUGCAGGAUGGAGGGCGGUAGGUUCCCAAAGGCAGUUUUCUAUGUUGUGCUAUUUUAGGGCAGGAAUAACUAAUGGUAGCCAGAGGUUGUGAUGCAGGGAUGUGCUGAAGAGACAUAUGAAGAACUCUGACAUCUCCUCAGACUCCUGGGAAGAGAAGGCCCUGUGGCAUGAGGAAUGGCACCAACUGCUGAAGCUCGUGAUUCUGUCCACUGAGGAGAAGCAACAGAGAGAAUAUGAAAGAGCACAUGAGAGACGUUACUUCUCCGUUGCAUUAAGUAGUUUCACCUGCUGCAGAUUAAGAGCAGGCCUUGUGGCCCUGCUACAGAUAAUUUCUGAACAGUGCAGACAACGUCAACCUAUCAAUGAGAGCAUAAACAAAACACAUACAGCAAGUA
Molecule: long non-coding RNA, 3661 nt
Organism: Octopus bimaculoides (California two-spot octopus)
Lineage: Eukaryota; Metazoa; Mollusca; Cephalopoda; Octopoda; Octopodidae
Source: RefSeq, a predicted model, not a curated record